CUUUUUACUGUGAUCUGAAAUGCGUAUGGACAGUAUAUGGGACGUGAAAUUUGUUCGUAGAUCUCUUCUGCAGAAUGCAUGAAGAUUGAAAAUUUGUCCUUUAUGAUCAUUUCAGUCAAGUUGUUUCAAAUAUUACCAGGCAGCUGAUUCAAGAUCGACAAAAUUGAUCAUGAAUUAUUGUUAAGUGAUUAAAAAAAAGCAUUUUAUUACUUGCUCAUCUGUUCCUGCAUUGCAGUUUUACAGGAUGCAGGAUCGUAUUAAAUUUCUGAUGCCCUCUUUGGGUGCACAUUAGUAACUGAAGCUUUUAGUUUUGGGUUCCCUCUCCUCUACAUGUUGAAGUUGUUACCAACCCUCCCCAGUUGUCUGAUCAUGAAUACUGUUCAUGAUCAGACAACUGGGGAUCACAUGCGGAAAUUUACACUUGUACUGUAAAUUUUUAAUGUACAGUUGCAUUGUGGGAUUUUUACCGGCUGUAGGUGAAUGUUCACAGGCUGGAGGGCGGGCCAACAAUGACUUUCACCGGGAAACGGCAUCAAGGGCACAAACGGGUCCAGCAGCUCCUUUUGCCACCUAGAGUAUUGUUUCAUAGGUGAUUCAUAGGCCUCAACCCAGAAAAUGGAACAAAAGCUGCAAACGGAAAAGUGACAUCAACCAACAGGACGACUUAUGUAGAACACAGCAGUGAACCUGCAUGUCUCCAUUCUCCUCCUUCAUGAACCAUGUAAUUUUACCAUUUUAAAAUGGUAAAAUUACACAUUUACACUCCAUCUCUCUCCCUGUCUGUCUUUUUCUCUGUCUGUCUCUCUGUAUCUGUUCUGUCCAUUUCUAAUAGACAGACAGGAGGACAGAACAAUGAAGGAAGGUCAGAGAGAGUCUUUCCUUUUCAUCCUGUCUGUCUUUAACUGAUAUGAAUGUAGUUUGGAAACUUUGACAUUUGGGUACUUUUGUUUUAGUAAAGAUUAUUUAAUUAAUUGUACUCAAUGUCAUAUUAUCAUGAUUGUAAAUGUAUCAGUUAUGUUUUUAGAUCUGACUAUUUUUCACUUUGGUUGCAAUACUUUGACUUUUGUGUAACAAGCAAAUAUUGCUGCUGCAAAAUACUGUAUUUUGUUUAGCUUCAGUUUGUCAGAUUUAAAUUGACAAUAAAAUCAAGUGAUUUUAAAAUAUACAUAUAUGUUUUUUUAAUUAGAAAAAUAUAUAUUUUUUGUGAGUUUGGUCAAUUAAGUUGCAAGUUCACAUUUAAACUUUUAAAAGCUAGCAAAGUAUGCAGUUUCAUGAACUACUGAAAAAUGACAACUUUUUGUAAUUGUGACUAGUUUAAAUGCUGUUCAAAUGGGUUGUCAUAUGGCAAGAGUUUAUACCUUUUGUAGUAAAGCGUCUGCACUGCAGAUGUAAAAGAAAAUGGAUAACAAUUUUGAAAAUACAGUUCUGCUGUACCUGUUCUAAUUGUUGAGUGUUCUUUCUACCCUUUCACCCAGUCCCGUCUUAAAACACUUCAUGUGAUGUAACUUAAAAACAUGUCUUUGAAUUAAUGUAAUUAAAUCAUGGAAAGAAUUUCCACAUGAUUAAAUAGCUUUCUUUCAGCAUGAAGCAUGUUUGUUGAGCUAACUUAAUUUUCAUGAGUUGGAUCAACUUAAUUAAGUAGUGUGAAGGUACCGCUGUAACAUAUGGUGGUUUCAACUAAAUUUGCAUUAGUCUUAAUCUAGUAAAAUCAAUUAUUUGGUCCAAGACAUUGCAAAUUAGUUGGGCUGGCUCUAUUAAAUUACAUUGGGUCAAACUAUGGUAAAUGAGUUAAAUGAACCUUAAAAAAAUAAGUUGACC
This is a long non-coding RNA of Xiphophorus couchianus (Monterrey platyfish), 1818 nucleotides long. RefSeq lists it as uncharacterized. Lineage: Eukaryota; Metazoa; Chordata; Actinopteri; Cyprinodontiformes; Poeciliidae. The record is from RefSeq and is a predicted model, not a curated record. The transcript is spliced from 3 exons.